This 301-nucleotide ribosomal RNA is filed under the name uncultured bacterium. Its description in RNAcentral is "partial 16S ribosomal RNA". It matches the Rfam family "Bacterial small subunit ribosomal RNA", at positions 509 to 807 of the family's 1533-position model. The record is from RNAcentral.
CAGCCGCCACGGGAAUACGAAGGGUGCAAGCGUUAAUCGGAAUUACUGGGCGUAAAGCGUGCGUAGGCGGUGAGUUAAGUCUGCUGUGAAAUCCCCGGGCUCAACCUGGGAAUGGCAGUGGAUACUGGCUCGCUAGAGUGUGUCAGAGGGGGGUGGAAUUCCACGUGUAGCAGUGAAAUGCGUAGAGAUGUGGAGGAACACCGAUGGCGAAGGCAGCCCCCUGGGCCAAUACUGACGCUCAUGCACGAAAGCGUGGGGAGCAAACAGGAUUAGAUACCCCCGUAGUCCCUGUCUCUUAUAC